This 900-nucleotide ribosomal RNA is filed under the name uncultured Geobacter sp. RNAcentral describes it as "bacterial SSU rRNA". It matches the Rfam family "Bacterial small subunit ribosomal RNA", at positions 570 to 1482 of the family's 1533-position model. The record is from RNAcentral. Lineage: Bacteria; Pseudomonadati; Thermodesulfobacteriota; Desulfuromonadia; Geobacterales; Geobacteraceae.
CGUAGGCUGUUAUAUAAGUCAGUGGUGAAAUAUUCGGGCUCAACCGGGAUACUGCCAUUGAUACUGUAUAGCUGGAAUAUGGUUGCUGUGGGUGGAAUGUGUGGUGUAGCGGUGAAAUGCAUAGAUAUCACACAGAAUAUCGAUUGCGAAGGCAACUCACAAAGCCAUUAUUGACGCUGAUGCACGAAAGUGUGGGGAUCAAACAGGAUUAGAUACCCUGGUAGUCCACACUGCAAACGAUGAUAACUAGCUGUCGGCGAUAGAUAGUCGGUGGCUAAGCGAAAGCGAUAAGUUAUCCACCUGGGGAGUACGACCGCAAGGUUGAAACUCAAAGGAAUUGACGGGGGCCCGCACAAGCGGAGGAACAUGUGGUUUAAUUCGAUGAUACGCGAGGAACCUUACCCGGGCUCGAACGGUGCAGGAAUAUGGUAGAGAUAUCAUAGCUAGCAAUAGUCUGUAUCGAGGUGCUGCAUGGUUGUCGUCAGCUCGUGCCGUGAGGUGUCGGCUUAAGUGCCAUAACGAGCGCAACCCUUGUCGUUAGUUACCAUCAAGUAAAGUUGGGGACUCUAGCGAGACUGCCACCGUAAGGUGUGAGGAAGGGGGGGAUGACGUCAAAUCAGCACGGCCCUUACGUCCGGGGCGACACACGUGUUACAAUGGUAGGUACAGAGGGGCGCUAUCCAGUGAUGGAGUGCGAAUCUCAAAAACCUAUCUCAGUUCGGAUUGGAGUCUGCAACUCGACUCCAUGAAGUUGGAUUCGCUAGUAAUCGCGCAUCAGCCAUGGCGCGGUGAAUACGUUCCCGGGCCUUGUACACACCGCCCGUCAAGCCAUGGAAGCCGGGGGUGCCUGAAGUUCGUGACCGCAAGGAGCGACCUAGGGCAAAACUGGUAACUGGGGCU